Molecule: ribosomal RNA, 273 nt
Filed under: uncultured bacterium
Lineage: Bacteria
Description: partial 16S ribosomal RNA
Rfam family: Bacterial small subunit ribosomal RNA
Source: RNAcentral
AUACGAAAGGUGCAAGCGUUGUUCGGAUUUACUGGGCGUAAAGAGAGUGUAGGUUGUUUAUUAAGUCGGAUGUGAAAUCCCGGGGCUCAACCUCGGAACUGCAUUCGAUACUGGUAGACUAGAGUUCGGGAGGGGUAAGCGGAAUUCCGUGUGUAGCAGUGAAAUGCGUAGAUAUACGGAGGAACACCUGAGGCGAAGGCGGCUUACUGGACCGAUACUGACACUGAGACUCGAAAGCGUGGUAGCAAACAGGAUUAGAAACCCUUGUAGUCC